UACGGGGGGGGCAAGCGUUGUUCGGAAUUAUUGGGCGUAAAGAGCUCGUAGGCGGUCUGUUGCGUCGGCUGUGAAAACCCGGGGCUCAACUCCGGGCCUGCAGCCGAUACGGGCAGACUAGAGUUCGGCAGGGGAGACUGGAAUUCCUGGUGUAGCGGUGAAAUGCGCAGAUAUCAGGAGGAACACCGGUGGCGAAGGCGGGUCUCUGGGCCGAUACUGACGCUGAGGAGCGAAAGCAUGGGUAGCGAACAGG
Molecule: ribosomal RNA, 253 nt
Filed under: uncultured bacterium
Lineage: Bacteria
Description: partial 16S ribosomal RNA
Rfam family: Bacterial small subunit ribosomal RNA
Source: RNAcentral